Molecule: ribosomal RNA, 468 nt
Filed under: uncultured bacterium
Lineage: Bacteria
Description: partial 16S ribosomal RNA
Rfam family: Bacterial small subunit ribosomal RNA
Source: RNAcentral
GACGAACGCUGGCGGCGUGCUUAACACAUGCAAGUCGAACGGAAAGGCCCUGCUUUUGUGGGGUGCUCGAGUGGCGAACGGGUGAGUAACACGUGAGUAACCUGCCCUUGACUUUGGGAUAACUUCAGGAAACUGGGGCUAAUACCGGAUAGGAGCUCCUGCUGCAUGGUGGGGGUUGGAAAGUUUCGGCGGUUGGGGAUGGACUCGCGGCUUAUCAGCUUGUUGGUGGGGUAGUGGCUUACCAAGGCUUUGACGGGUAGCCGGCCUGAGAGGGUGACCGGCCACAAUGGGACUGAGAGACGGCGCAGACUGCUACGGGAGGCAGCAGUGGGGAAUAUUGCACAGUGGGCGGAAGCCUGAGGCAGCAACGCCGCGUGCGGGAUGACGGCCUUCGGGUUGUAAACCGCUUUCGCCUGUGACGAAGCGUGAGUGACGGUAAUGGGUAAAGAAGCACCGGCUAACUACGUG